UGGAGAUGGGGCCUGGGAUUCUGCAUUGCUAACAAGCUCUCGGGUAACUAAUACUUGGGAAUGCUGCUGGUCUAAGCGGCAAGGGGGAGAUCAGCAUUGUCCAAAUAAAAGAUAACGUGAGCUACACAUGCAAUUUUAAAUUUCUAGAAGCCAUAUUAAAAGGUGAGGAAAUGGACAUCCCAGAGAUUAGAUAAUUUGUCCUGGGCCCGUGACCGUUAGGAGGUAGAACGUGAAUUCACGUCCAGUCUGCUGGACCGUAAAGUUCAUCCCCUUAACUAUUCCACUACACUGAGGAAGCUCUCUUCAACUGUCGUAAGCGGAAUUUGCUGAUUGGUCAACAAAGUAGUCAACAAAAACUACAGCCCACAGGGGAAGCCCGUGGCGCGGCGGAAGAGAAAACAGAGGAUCCCAAAAUGAAGACACUUGCUCAAGUUCACACAGCUGUUAAGUGGAUGGCAAGGGGCCAGACUUCUAAGGUGCAGAGAUUGUCCCUGUAGAAUGGGAAGAAGACAUGAGUGGACAAAACGACUUAGGUAUUAUAGUCACAUUUCCUUCUAGGAGCUGGGCCUUCAUUUCCCAUCAGUGGUAUUUAUCAGCCUCGGCUACUCAGCAAGGAUUCUGCCUUCGUAAAUUUCCAGAAGAGCAGCAGGCACCAAGUUCUACUUUCAUGGAUAUUUCAAGACUCUAGGAGAAGCCUAUCAAGGUCUUUCAGGAGACAUCUUACUAUGCUCCACUUGGAUGGCAACCCCAGUAGGAGACUUCAGAUUGUACAGUUCAGUGAGCAUCCACCCAAGGAUGCAGUGCCAGUUUCUUCUUUUCCAGAUACUCUCAGUCUCUAAAAGUGAUUAUCUUGCAACCCUGCCGAUCUCUUGGCUUCAUGAGGAAUGAGGAAGCAAGCCUCUAGAAAUAUCUUUCACCAAGGACCCACGAGAACACUCGCCCUUGGAAACCAGCUGCUGUGCAGUAAGAAACCCAAGUCACAUGGAUGGCCACGUGUUGGCACUCUGGUUGAGAGCCCCACCUGGGCUCCUAGCUGACAGUCAGCAUCACCUAGCAGCCAUGAGACAAAGCCCACUCUUCUCAUCUAGCGAGUUGCCUUCAUAUCUGUGAGAGAGGGCCACGUGAACUGAAUUUCAUGGAUUGUGGUGGGAAUGAAAGCAGAGUCCUGACCCUUAGUUCAUGAAAAAUUAUCUGUGCAUGGACUGGCUCUGUGGCUGGUACAAAAAGAAACUUUCAAAAGAGAACAAAGAAAGCGUCAAAAGAAUAAGUGUGUAACUUCCCAAGACGAGAUUGGCGUUUUAUACAAGUAGACUGAGCUCUCCUGAAAAGGAAGGAAUUCUGUUUCCAUGUUGCGACAUAGAAACCCUGCCUGAGUUUCUAGCCUUUGGACUCAAGACUGCAACAUCAGCUCUUGCUGGAAUUUCCAGCCUACAGCCUGCCCCACGGAUUUUGGACAUGUCAACCCCUACAAUCACAGGACAUUGACGUUGACAGAGAAAGACCAAAGGAAUCUUUGUGACUUCAUCCAAAUGUCACAGCAAGAGUGAAAUAAGAAUGGAGAAAAAGGAAGCAAUCUCCGUGGUUUCAUUGGCGCUCACUCAUUGAGCCUUCCAGAGGAGGCUCCUGCCUUGCGAAGGUUCAGAGUCUAGGACAUCUAAUCCACCCAGAGGGGGCUUCAUAUUUGAUUAGGCCCUUGGAAUCCAGCUUAGAAAAUGAGCUGUUAAAAAGUCGAGGCAAAAUAGAGAGUGGACCCCUGACUCUUAGGGUGGGUUGGCGGCCGGUCUGAGCAGGAAGUGUUCUGAUGUGCUGACAGUGAGGAAACAGGCCGUGUUUUUGUUUAUUUUCUCAUAAAGUGCUGAUGAACAAAUGAGGUAGUUGCAUUAAGGGGCUCCGAAGCAAGCUGUGAAAAGAGAUUGGGGUUUAUCAGCCUUUUAGCCUGGUUUCCUUUGGAAAGAAUGCUUGUGACAUGGCGAGGCUCUGCAAGUCUGCGUGUCCACCCCCUCGGCGCGGCGCCCCUCCUCCCCGCACGCUCCUUGAUAACUUUGACUGCCUCAAACUGAUGUCAGCCCUUUUUGGUAGAUGGGGAGAAGGAGGGCCUCAUGGAUUCCUUAAUAAUAGAAGCAAAUGCUCGAGAGAUAGAGCAAUUUCCACACAUUAAAUAACCUCCUUUUUGUUUUUUGUGCUUAUGCUUGAUAGUUCUAAAUUUAAUUUGUGGACUCCUUUAAAGAGAUUUCUAGGAAAUUGGUGGGGGUGGGAAGUAGGAGAGGGCUCUGUUGGGAGGACAUUCAUAUUUUUUUGGAUCUAAGAUCUUACCUGACACAAGAAUGGAGGAAAGUCAGAAAUAUGAGGAAAGCAUUGCCUAUAGCUAUGAAUAAAUCUGUCACUUGGAAGAUAAAAACGCUUAAGCAGCAUACCUUAAAAUAAAGUAUGAGCUUUGAAUCCUUGGUGGAGCAAUGCAUGGAACAAAGAAAGAAAUGGUCAAAUAAAUUUAAAAAAUUAGAUAAUCCAGAAGCUUGCUUUGCUGCUAAACUCUGUGUCCUUCCAAGUUUCGUAAAGAGUAAUUGUAGAGUGGCCGUUAUCUCUGCUCCUUAGCUCUAGUUACCUCAGCUGCAAAGGUCGUGGCACCUUCCUCUGGGGGAGAAAUGAAGUCUGUUUCUCCUGAGCCAGAGUUGACAUCGUAGGAGUACAGUAACGUCUGGUAAAAUAACUCACUCAAAAUCAAGUUUGACCAGUGUGCUUCUGAGUCAAGGGAUUUAAAAUGUUUCACAGAUGACAGCAAUUUUAACCAAUGUGACCUAGGAUAAUUCCAAGGAAUAAAAAAUAUGGUAAAUGGUUCAGAAUGGAUUUGGU
Equus caballus (horse) is the source of this 2850-nucleotide long non-coding RNA. Lineage: Eukaryota; Metazoa; Chordata; Mammalia; Perissodactyla; Equidae. The record is from Ensembl.